This is a long non-coding RNA of Malaclemys terrapin pileata, 656 nucleotides long. RefSeq lists it as uncharacterized. Lineage: Eukaryota; Metazoa; Chordata; Testudines; Emydidae. The transcript has 3 exons. The record is from RefSeq and is a predicted model, not a curated record.
CGCCCGGGGAGAACGUGGGGCUUUGCCAGAGGUAUCCACGUCUUAGCCGCCAGCGACGUACCGCGGGAGUGGGGCUCGGGGCCAGCUGUGGGCGGAGAUGGGAACCUGGCACCGGAGGCGGGGGGCAAAAGCUAGCCCCCAGCUGGGGAUGCUCCAGUGCCAUCGGGGGGAGCCACUCACUCAUGCCCCGAGUUGCAGAGUUCUCUGUCCGACAGGCCAGGGCUCAGCUAGCACCUUUGCUUCUCAGCAUGGGCUGGAGUGGUGAGCUUCCCCGGAGCAGUGCCCUGCUUGGCACCCAGUGUGGGACCCGGAGCGGUGAGCUUCCCCAGAGCAGUGCCCUGCCCGGCACCCAGUGUGGGAAUCUUCCUUGGAGUCGCUUCCCAGGAGACGGUCCCGGCCUGUAAGUGCAGCCGACAUUCUCUGUUCCUAGAGGUGCCCGUUUACGUGGUUGCUUGUGCCCGGCUUCCCCAGCGAUCCAGAUCGUCCUCUUCCUUAUUUACCACUCUCCCAAUUUCUGUGUCCUCUGCAAAGACAGAGACAGACCCGCUCGAUGUUGAUCUUCCUCGUACCGUUACAUUCCGAGACCUGUCGGAUAGCCAGUUUGUAAUCUAUUUAAUGUUUGCCAUGGUCACUUUAAAUCGUUCUGGUUUUUAAAU